ACUCAAAUGAAUUGACGGGGGUCCGCACAAGCGGUGGAACAUGUGGUUUAAUUCGACACUACGCGAGGAACCUUACCUAGGCUUGACAUGCAUAUGACCGCCCUAGAAACAGGGUUUUCUAAGCGAAAGCUUAGACAUUUGCACAGAUGCUGCAUGGCUGUCGUCAGCUCGUGUCGUGAGAUGUUGGGUUAAGUCCUUUAACGAGCGCAACUCCUGUUGUCAGUUGCAACCCCGUGAGGGGGCACUCUGAUGAGACUGCCUGGGAAACCAGGAGGAAGGUGGGAAUGACGUCAAGUCCUCAUGGCUCUUACGCCUAGGGCAACACACGUGUUACAAUGGCUGGUACAAAGGGCUGCAAUCUCGUAAGAAGGAGCUAAUCCUCAAAGCCAGUCUAAGUUCGGAUUGAGGUCUGCAACUCGACCUCAUGAAGUUGAAAUCGCUAGUAAUCGCAUAUCAGAACGAUGCGGUGAAUACGUUCUCGGACCUUGUACACACCGCCCGU
RNAcentral lists this ribosomal RNA (502 nucleotides) under uncultured bacterium. RNAcentral's name for it is "partial 16S ribosomal RNA". It matches the Rfam family "Bacterial small subunit ribosomal RNA", at positions 899 to 1397 of the family's 1533-position model. The record is from RNAcentral.